GAGAGAGAGAGAGAGAGAGAGAUGGGCGGUGCGUUUACCAUGAUGCAACGCGAGCUUUUGCAUUUCUCCCGGAAACGGUAGUCGUCGACGCAGUUGCAUGAGGGAUUGCGUGGUGCGUGAUUGUUUGUGUUGCGUGCGAGUGUGAAUGCGUGUGAAUGCGGAAUGCGUGUGAUUUUUGUCCAAAACCUACACACUGAUCUUAUUUGAUCUGGUCGUAGUUGUGGCCCGACUAUGACUGGAAGUGAUAUGAAAUCAGCUCGCUUAGCCUCAGUGGCAAUGGGCAUCAAGCUCGAGUUCGACCUUCAGGGCCUCCACGCUUGUAAGUUGUGGUCAGAGGUGAUGAAUUGAUCAGAUAUACUAGUUCGGAGUGCGUUUGGUUUCUUUCCAAACUCCACGACGGGCAAUGAGUAUAGAAGCGAUUCUGAUCUAA
Non-coding RNA from Syngnathus typhle (broad-nosed pipefish), 430 nucleotides. RefSeq annotates it as small Cajal body-specific RNA 2. NCBI's taxonomy places the organism in Eukaryota, Metazoa, Chordata, Actinopteri, Syngnathiformes, Syngnathidae. The transcript has a single exon. The record is from RefSeq and is a predicted model, not a curated record.